This 484-nucleotide ribosomal RNA is filed under the name uncultured bacterium. Its description in RNAcentral is "partial 16S ribosomal RNA". It matches the Rfam family "Bacterial small subunit ribosomal RNA", at positions 28 to 523 of the family's 1533-position model. The record is from RNAcentral.
GACGAACGCUGGCGGCGUGCUUAACACAUGCAAGUCGAACGAUGAACCCGGAGCUUGCUCAGGCGGAUUAGUGGCGAACGGGUGAGUAACACGUGAGUAACCUGCCCUUGACUCUGGGAUAAAUGCUAGAAAUGGUAGCUAAUACCGGAUAUGACCCUGGGUGGCAUCACCAGGGGGUGGAAAGAAUUUCGGUCAAGGAUGGACUCGCGGCCUAUCAGCUAGUUGGUGAGGUAACGGCUCACCAAGGGGACGACGGGUAGCCGGCCCGAGAGGGUGACCGGCCAGACUGGGACUGAGACACGGCGCAGACUCCUACGGGAGGCAGAAGGGGGGAAUAUUGCACAAAGGGCGCAAGCCUGAUGCAGCAACGCCGCGUGAGGGAUGACGGCCUUCGGGUUGUAAACCUCUUUUAGUAGGGAAGAAGCGAAAGUGACGGUACCUGCAGAAAAAGCACCGGCUAACUACGUGCCAGCCGCCGCAGUAA